Lolium rigidum is the source of this 198-nucleotide long non-coding RNA. RefSeq lists it as uncharacterized. The record is from RefSeq and is a predicted model, not a curated record. The transcript is spliced from 3 exons. NCBI's taxonomy places the organism in Eukaryota, Viridiplantae, Streptophyta, Magnoliopsida, Poales, Poaceae.
UGUAGGUAAAUUGGUGUCAAUUAGCAGCAAUGGACUAGGACAUCAGCUGUGUGCGCUCGAGUACCAGGAAGCAAGCCAAAAGUGUCUGCUCCAAGGUUGCCAGUUGUGAUUCUGGUCACUUUUCAAGCAGAGAAGCAUGAUGAAAAUAGAUUUUGUUAUGAUGGUCUUACUACGCCGAGAUGCUUGCUCGGAGCUCAU